GCUAAUUUGAAUUUUUUGCAAUAAAUAAUGAUCAACCUUUGAAGCAGGAUUGAUAUUAGUUAUCAAUCCUGAGAUGUGCAAAGCUUAAAAUAAAAGAACACGCAGAGAAUUAUUUUACGUGGUAAAACCCCACCUCUGGGGAAAAUCCACGGGACUCCUCAGUCCAACUCAAAUCCACUAUAGAACGAUGAUUACAAGAAGUACUCACACACUUAUCCUAGACUCAUUCUAGAUAAUGUUUACCGACUUCUUCGUAACUCAACUUCUGUUACGGGAUGAUCUUCGACACUCCUUAUGUUGAACGCAAUACUGGCCACGAUUGCUUCAAGCUCGCCGGAGGAAAACCGCCACCACGGUCUUAGUGCACUCAACCGUAUGAGUCACCGACAUGCAUAUGAAUGCAAUAUGAAUGAUUCAAGUGUUUGAUAAAUCACCAAGUAAACAUGGAACACUUGAUGAUUUAUCUCAAAUAUGUACAGUAGCUUUCUUAAGAAUUUUAGAUGCUCAAACAAAAUAUGGGAAAGUUACAAAAACAAAGAAGCACGUCAUGUCUUUAUACAAACCACAAUCUCCUUUUUGCAAGAGAAGAGCACAAAGCCACGUCCUCAAUCUCUUGCCAUUAAUCAUAUUUGAUUCUCAUAGAAUCCUACCUCAAUUCGUCAGCCCAUGCAAACUUCCCAUGAACAAUAUAAGAUUUAGAUGCCUACUGAAUGACAGAGCCAAACUUCCUAUAUGGUUCUAAGUAAUCAUGCCAAACAGCAGACCACAAGUUCUAUUCAAUCAUGAAUAUCAUAUUUGAUCCCAUAUGGACUCUAAGUGAUUGAUGCCAAAUAGCCACUAUUUUAGGGAGAACCAAUAUCUCCUAAAACAAAUUAAUUAGACCAAACAAAGAUAAGAUUUUAACUUGAAUCAAAAUAGAGUCCAACUAGGAAAGCAAUUUCAAGAGAUAAAAUCUAAUCCUAUUAAAAGUAGGGCUAACAUAAAAGUGCUUGAGUAAAAAUAACUCCAACUAGGAAUCCUAUAAUGAAUGCAUGAUUAUGUCAUGAUUUACCUGAAAUCAGUUUCUCAUAUCGGUUAAGUCAUGCUUCAAAGAUCCAGAAUGAAUGUGUUGCUCCAAAGCUUCCAGUAAAACAUAUUCACACACUAAUUCCCAACCUAUGCUAGAGUCUAGGAAAUGACAAUACAAUUUUCAUACUAACAAUCUCCCCCUUUGGCAUUUCCUAGACAAAACACCUAUUACAACUCAAAAGAAAUUGCAUGGAAUUGAACAAAUGAAAUCCUACUCUAAACUCAAGGCUUUGAAUCCCUGCACAUUAUGAAACAACAAAACCAGUGAAGCAUGUGGGAGAAGAAAUGUAAUUCAAGGCAAAAUUACAACACCACUCCCCCUUAAUUCUACAACACAAUCUCUCCCCUUUUCAUAAUUUCACAUAGUGAUCUCUCCCCCUUUUUGUCAGGAAAUCCAAAGGACAAGGAAAUAACAUACAGAAGCAUAUAAAAGAGGAAAAGAUCAGAUUGCAAUCCAACAUAUAAAGGCAUAGAGAUUUACCAAUGAUGCAUGUAAGGGGCUUUAUCUUGUUGAGUGACAACGAGCAAUAACCUCACUGCUUCUAGAUGUGCAAUUGGUGAAAAAGUCUCAUCUUUUUAUAGCCAAGAUCCAUUAAUCACCUACAAGAACAACAUACACAAUUAGGUUCAAUCAUAUAAACAAUAUAUGAUUCUUACCUCUUCGGUUGCAUGUCUUAUACUCUGCAUUGUGUCAUACAUGUUGAUGUGCCAGAGGUAUGCAACGGACAGGAUUGAUAAUGACACUGCAAUCCUCAGAUUCAGUUUAUCAUGUGUGCGUCUUAGUAACAUGAAGCAAAGCCUAGCGGCACAACUAAACAAGAAGCAUAAAUGACACAAUGUUUGAAAACAAAAAGAAAUUCGUUUUUUUUUUUUAAUAUAAUUUUUUUUUCUUAUAAAAUUUUUGGAAAACAAAACAACAAAGAAAAACGAAAGGGAAAAACAAAAACAUAACAUAACACAAACAAAAACAACACAAUUAAGACAAAAGGCUCAAAACAACCAAGAUAUAUAACACAUUUUAGAUGCAGGUCCCAAGCUCUCUAGAAGAUGUAAUUAUUUUCCAUUCAUAAACAUGCCAAGUAUGUGAGCAAGAAGAGAUAGUAGUAGCAGACCCAACGCUGUCUGAAACGCAUAAGAAGCAAAGCAUGGCAGGGACAAAAGCAAGCCACCAGAUGAAAUGCACAAACUCACAGAUAAUCAAGGAGGCAUACCACAUGCAUGGUGAAAAAUAAACAUCACCAAAUGAUUCUACCAUUAGGAAGCAAAGGUGUGAAGUGAACUCCUUUCAAUUAAGCACAAAAAAUAUGUCCACCCAAGACUGAUCCCACCAAAGAUGACACAGACACUAAGUGCAUUGUAAGUAUAAGAAGAUCAGUUUAUUUGAGACAUGAAUUGUAUUUAUUUAUUAUUAUUAUUUUAAAUUUGGUGGCUUACUUUAUUUAGCUUUCGACAUGAUCCAUGUAACGGAUGGUCAAUCAGUGUGCUCACGUCAGAUGACUGGAAGCAACUGGGUGAUAAAGCAUCCCUGGGGAAAUACUGAUCCGAAUCAUGAAGGCUCCAAAGAUAAGCAAGGACAGCAAACCAUCAUAACUUGUUGACUUGAACCUCGACGUUGGUUAGAUAAGAGGCCCGGUUACUGAGCAAUGAGCGGUCAACACCUUUUUUUUUUUUUUUUUUUAAAUUUUUAUUUCUAAACAGAUCAAGAACUUACGCACAGUAGUGUUAUGGCAAUCCAAAGAGAGACAAGUGCAUGAGAAGAGAUAUUCAAAGGAAUUCAAGGAAAAGAGUGUGAUGUGCAAAAUAAAAAUAAAAAGAUGGAUAGAUCAUUUAAUGAAGUUUAUAAUGCACCAAGACAAUGGAAACCUUUGUGUGAAGCUGAAAGUAUGAGUUCUCAAUAUAGUGCAGUGUCAGAGCCCAAUCUAAGAUCAACAAAUACGUUCAGACAGUUACAGGAUUGAUACACCUUAACAAUCCUUGCACGAGCUGGGCAGAUUUAUAAACACCGAAAUUAAUUGAAAUAUCAUAAGACAUGAAAGAGGCUUUGGCAUGCAAUAGACUCCAAAUUAAUCUAGAGCACAUAUACCUAAAGACUUUCUAAGAGUGUCAAAUCGAAGAUUAUCCAAAGAUUUUGCAGCAAUACAUUUAAGAUCCAAACUUUCUAAAGCAACGGGUUCAUGCACAAGAUUAGUGGAGGAAGACAUACCGUUAUGAUUUUCCUUUUUCCUCCAAACUAACUUUGUCUUAGUUGACGGCAAACAAUGAAAAGAAGAUAGUUUGGAUAAGCGGUUUACCUCUUCCAUAAGACUUAAAAUCUUAUGUUGGAUACUUACUUUUCCACCCAUGCCAUGAGAAUUUGAACAAACAAAUUCAUUUCGAAGCUUAUUGCAUCUUGGUCUUAUGUGCCCACGAGUUCCACAAAAGUGACAAAUUGGAAUAAAUUUCUUGACUUCAUGAGUGACAGAAGGUUCAAUAGGUGAAGUGAAUUUGACAAACUUUGUUUUAGACACAGCGGAAGACUUAUUACUUGGUUCAAAUCCCAAGCCUCGUUUGUCACCGUCUCUUCUUCCCAUGCUAAUCAUCUUGUCAAUUUUUUCUGCACCAAUGGUUAAAGAAACAAUUCUUUCCUUUGAAUUUUUAAGUUCAAGUUCAAGGGCUUUGUUGUCAGAUGUUAGAGAUGCAAUUAAUUUAUUCUGAUCAGCCAAUUUUUUAUGCAAAAACAUCAAUUUUUCGUUCAUACCUGCACUUACCUUUUUGGAAUCUGCAUCAGGAGAUUGAAACUCGUUUGCAAUCCUGCAAUUUUCCAGCUUCAGCACAGCAACUUCUUUGACGAGCUCACUAUUUUGUUUACUGAGCUUCUAAGAAGCAGCCAACAAAUCAUCAUAUUUGUUCAUGAUAAACUCAAUAUUUAUACCUUUACAAUCAUCAUCCUCAUGUGAUUCAUCCAAGCUAACUGUGGUUAUGAGUGCAACCGUCUUUUCAUCAUUCUCGCAUUCUGAUUCACUAUCACUCCAAGUAGUAUGCAUUGCCUUAUUCUUGCCAUCCUUUUGUUUCUUUAAGGUGUUGGCACAUUCCGAAGAUAUGUGUCCAUAGCCUUCACAUUCGAAACAUUGGACCUUUUCUCUUGGAUUCUUUCGUUCAUUUGACCUGCGAAAUUUAGACCCACCAUCAGUAUAGUUAACAAACCUAUUUUUAGAAUUUAUACCUUUUAAAUCUCGACUCCUUGGAUCCAGAUUCUUGAGAAAGUUCAUGAAUCGCCUUGUGAGAAUCAUUAAUUCAUCAUCACUGCAAUCUUCAUUUGAAUGCCCAUUAUCUUCUUCAUUCACAACCUUGAAAGCAACAUUUUUGCUCUUUUUAGGAGCUAGAUGUUUCAUCUCAUAGGUUUGUAUGGACCCUAUGAGUUCUUGAACUUUCAAGGUGUUCAAGUCGCGGAUCUCUUCAAUAGCCGUGAUCUUUGGUUGAAAUCGUUGAGGCAAGGAUCUCAAAAUCUUUUUCACAACCCUGUCUUCUGGAAUUUUUUCACCUAAACUUGAACAAGCAUUCACAAUUACACACAGUUUAGCAUAAAAUUCGGAAAAAGUUUCAUUCUCAUCCAUCAUGAGUGUCUCAAACUGUAAAGUAUGCAUUUGAAGCUUGGCUCCCUUGACAGUAUCUGUUCCUUCAUGAGUAACCUGCAAAAUAUCCCAAGCUUCCUUAGAAGUAUCACAACCAGAUAUAUAUUCAAAUUGAUCUGAAGAGACAGCAGUAAAUAAAGCAUUUAACCCUUUUUGAUUAUUAGUGUUAUGUGUGACUUCUGCAGUGGUCCACUCCUCUCUAGCUUUGAGGAUUGUGGUUUCUUCAUCUCCGUUUUCGAUCUUCUUUGUGGGUUUAGGAAAUCCAUGAAUCACUGUACUCCAUACACGUUCAUCUAAGGACCAAAGAAACGACUUCAUUUUGGCCUUCCAAGCGUCAUAGUUGUUGCCAUCAAAAUAUGAUGGAUGUGCAAUUGAGCCCGAUGCACGAUCCAUCCUAAGGUAUAUUAGAUCUUACUGAGUAUGUCCAGCAACCUGGCUCUGAUACCAAUUGAAAAUACCUGUAGGAUAUCUAUAUAUGCCUGGAGAAGGUUAAACAAGCUAAUUCGAAUUUUUUGCAAUAAAUAAUGAUCAACCUUUGAAGCAGGAUUGAUAUUAGUUAUCAAUCCUGAGAUGUGCAAAGCUUAAAAUAAAAAAACACGCAGAGAAUUAUUUUACGUGGUAAAACCCCACCUCUGGGGAAAAUCCACGGGACUCCUCAGUCCAACUCAAAUCCACUAUAGAACGAUGAUUACAAGAAGUACUCACACACUUAUCCUAGACUCAUUCUAGAUAAUGUUU
RNAcentral lists this long non-coding RNA (5417 nucleotides) under Prunus persica (peach). RNAcentral's name for it is "long non-coding RNA (PPER_LNC000319)". Lineage: Eukaryota; Viridiplantae; Streptophyta; Magnoliopsida; Rosales; Rosaceae. The record is from RNAcentral.